UAUUUUAUGUAAUUAUCGAAAUUUUUGUAAUAUUAUGAAAUACAACCGUAAUAUUCUAAAUCGUGUGGUAUAUCCGUAUGCCAUGCGCGCUAUAUUACGCGAUCAUAGGUGGAAGUGGGGAGCGCUGUUGUCGCAUUUCCCGCUUUUUGGCAAUCACGUCGCGACAUGUUACUGUUCUUAUUAACUGAUCAACAGUGAUGCGUAUAUCAAGUACGUCUUACGAGUGUAUAUUACGAGUGCGUAUUAGAGUGUCUCUCCGCACAAGAAAAGGAAAAGAUCCAUUUUUGUCUACUUGCCUUCUACGUUUCAACUUUCUACAAGAAAGGUGCGCAUGUGAACGUGAUACGUUGCAAUAUCAUUUCUACAAGACUGAAG
Molecule: non-coding RNA, 375 nt
Organism: Nylanderia fulva
Lineage: Eukaryota; Metazoa; Arthropoda; Insecta; Hymenoptera; Formicidae
Source: RefSeq, a predicted model, not a curated record